Homo sapiens (human) is the source of this 1205-nucleotide long non-coding RNA. Ensembl annotates it as long intergenic non-protein coding RNA 1646. Lineage: Eukaryota; Metazoa; Chordata; Mammalia; Primates; Hominidae. The record is from Ensembl.
CCCAACAGCGAUGGCUGCAAACCCUUGGAGGUGGCAUUGCCAAAAGCGGACGUCAAUAGAUGUAAUGCAAAAAUAGUGUCUUGUGUUCAAAAAAGGUUGGGAAAUACUGAGUGAAAGAAUAGUGCACAAACCAUAGGCACACAGCUCAAGGAAUUAUCAGGAAUUGAACAUGUCCACGUGUGCCCAACCCAGCUCUCCAGCACACCUUCCCAGCCUCAACCCAUCAUCUGGAUUCUGAGGAACAGUGCCUGCUGCUCAGUCAAUGCCUGAUGAUGGAGUGAACAGAUUUCUGCUUUCUGUGGCCACCUCUGGGCCACAGAAAGGCCCAGAGGUUACAAGCAACCUCUGGUCUUUGAAGAAGGAGCAAAAGGACAGAGAAGUAUGAAAAGGAGCCCCGUUUGGAUGCACCCACUGAGCACUGAAGGGGAGGACUCUUAGGUGGCCCCAUCCUUUGCAAACAGGCUCAGUGGUUCUCCCGCGCUCACCCCAAGGCCCAGAAUCCAUGCAUACAUGUAGGGUGGGGCAGGCCGGCUCACGCUGACACGUCCAGCCUCUGCCCAGCUCCUCUGCUGGAGUCUCUGCAGGGAAUUUGGCAGAGCUUGGUCAUUCCUUCACUAAUUCAGCCGUUGUAGAAAAGCCACCCAGUUAACAGGUCUGAGCCAUUUCCUCUCAUCCUGGGGACUAGAGGUGACUGCCACUUUGAGGCCAGUUAAGAGUUCUUGGCCCUUCCUGGAAACCCUGCACUGCUGGGAAGUGGGUGGACACACACUUCUGAGAAUGAAUUCCAAGCGAAUUUUCCCAUCAUUUCUUUCCCCCUAGCAGUGCAAGGCUGGGGCACACAGGGAGAGAAUGUCUCUCUCACAUGUCAACUCCCAUGGUCUCAACUAGGCCUCGGGGGAAAGAGAAUGGGGCAUUCCAGGAUGGGAAUUCCAGGGUGGGCAUUCCAAGGAGUAAGAGGAAUUCUGGGAAGGAGGACACUCGUGAUGCAUGCAUGGCCCAUCCAGAAGGUCCAGGAUCAUCUCCCCAGCCCAAGCCUUUAAUCACAUCUGCGAAGACCCCCCUCUUCCUAUAGAAGGUGACACGGUCCCAGGUUCUGGGAAUUAGGACACAGACACCUCUGUUCAGCUGACCACAGCCACUGGGGGACCCACUGUUGAUCCCCCAUCCAUUCUGAUAAAGGCUUUCAUGAUGUCAGAAACCAUGAA